RNAcentral lists this long non-coding RNA (237 nucleotides) under Elaeis guineensis (African oil palm). RNAcentral describes it as "long non-coding RNA (EGUI_LNC034180)". The record is from RNAcentral. Lineage: Eukaryota; Viridiplantae; Streptophyta; Magnoliopsida; Arecales; Arecaceae.
UUUGGAUCAAGAGGGGCAUCACAUUGGGCACCUCAAUAGGAUUGGGUCGAGCCAAUUAGUCGGCUUAUUUUCUCUUUUUCUCCCAUGACUUAGUGCAAUUUUUUUUGAAAAGGAUCAUGUGGGUCGCAUGCCACCUCUGGAUAAGAUCAAGAGGAGCACACGCCUCAUAUGCAUGGUACAUAGAAUUGCAUGGAGAAGUGAGAGGGGCACACGCCCUUCUCUGAUUUCAGCUUGUGG